UUGCCAGUGAUUAUGAAAAGACGCGUUAUUCUGAGGGACAAACCUUUGACCAGUUUUGACUCAUUCAGUCUUACCUCUCUUUGAUCUCACUUCAUCCUUCCUCUCUUCUUCUUUCUCUCUUCAUUCUUCUCAAGCUGGUUGCAGGUCCUCUGAUUGUGAUUAUGAGAUAUGAUGGCAU
Molecule: small nucleolar RNA, 178 nt
Organism: Synchiropus splendidus (mandarinfish)
Lineage: Eukaryota; Metazoa; Chordata; Actinopteri; Syngnathiformes; Callionymidae
Product: small nucleolar RNA SNORD97
Exons: 1
Source: RefSeq, a predicted model, not a curated record